GACAGAGGUUGCAAACGUUGUUCGGAAUUACUGGGCAUAAAGCGCACGUAGGCGGUCCGUUAAGUCAUGUGUGAAAUCCCCCGGCUCAACCGGGGAAUUGCGCCUGAUACUGGCGGGCUAGAGGUCGAUAGGGGUGAGCGGAACUCCAGGUGGAGUGGUGAAAUGCGUAGAUAUCUGGAGGAACACCGGUGGCGAAAGCGGCUCACUGGAUCGAAACUGACGCUGAGGUGCGAAAGCUAGGGUAGCAAACGGG
This 253-nucleotide ribosomal RNA is filed under the name uncultured bacterium. Its description in RNAcentral is "partial 16S ribosomal RNA". It matches the Rfam family "Bacterial small subunit ribosomal RNA", at positions 524 to 776 of the family's 1533-position model. The record is from RNAcentral.